This 537-nucleotide ribosomal RNA is filed under the name fungal sp. VTL4.3. RNAcentral describes it as "eukaryotic LSU rRNA". The stretch from base 185 to 338 matches the Rfam family "5.8S ribosomal RNA". The record is from RNAcentral. Lineage: Eukaryota; Fungi.
UUCCGGAAAGUUUUGGGGUCCCUUCCCGAGCCCCUCUCCACCCUUUGUGUACCUACCUCUGUUGCUUUGGCGGGCCGCGGUUCUCCGCGGCCGGCCCCCUGAUCGGGGCUGGCCCGCGCCCGCCAGAGGACCACAAAACUCCAGUCAGUGAACUUUGCUGUCUGAUAUAAAUUCAAUAAACUAAAACUUUCAACAACGGAUCUCUUGGUUCUGGCAUCGAUGAAGAACGCAGCGAAAUGCGAUAAGUAAUGUGAAUUGCAGAAUUCAGUGAAUCAUCGAAUCUUUGAACGCACAUUGCGCCCUUUGGUAUUCCGAAGGGCAUGCCUGUUCGAGCGUCAUUACACCCCUCAAGCUCUGCUUGGUGUUGGGCAGCGUCCUCUCGGACGCGCCUCAAAGACCUCGGCGGUGGCGUCUUGCCUCAAGCGUAGUAGAAAACACCUCGCUUUGGAGGACGGGACGACCGCUCGCCGGACGAACCUUUGAAUUCAUUUUCCUAGGUUGACCUCGGAUCAGGUAGGGAUACCCGCUGAACAUAAG